This 2419-nucleotide small RNA is filed under the name Pongo abelii (Sumatran orangutan). RNAcentral's name for it is "retained intron". The record is from RNAcentral. Lineage: Eukaryota; Metazoa; Chordata; Mammalia; Primates; Hominidae.
GCUGUAAGUGGGGUGGGACAGAGAUGGCACCUGGGGGUUCUGAGGCACCUGCUCCUCUCUGAGACAGGGAUCAGGAGCCGGACUGGGACCAGACCACCAGCAACACACCAGAGGAUGUUCUCUAAAUAAGACCAUGGCACUUAAGAACAUUAACUACCUUCUCAUCUUCUACCUCAGUUUCUCACUGCUUAUCUACAUAAAAAAUUCCUUUUGCAAUAAAAACAACACCAGGUGCCUCUCAAAUUCUUGCCAAAACAAUUCUACAUGCAAAGAUUUUUCAAAAGACAAUGAUUGUUCUUGUUCAGACACAGCCAAUAAUUUGGACAAAGACUGUGACAACAUGAAAGACCCUUGCUUCUCCAAUCCCUGUCAAGGAAGUGCCACUUGUGUGAACACCCCAGGAGAAAGGAGCUUUCUGUGCAAAUGUCCUCCUGGGUACAGUGGGACAAUCUGUGAAACUACCAUUGGUUCCUGUGGCAAGAACUCCUGCCAACAUGGAGGUAUUUGCCAUCAGGACCCUAUUUAUCCUGUCUGCAUCUGCCCUGCUGGAUAUACUGGAAGAUUCUGUGAGAUAGAUCACGAUGAGUGUGCUUCCAGCCCUUGCCAAAAUGGGGCCGUGUGCCAGGAUGGAAUUGAUGGCUACUCCUGCUUCUGUGUCCCAGGAUAUCAAGGCAGACACUGCGACUUGGAAGUGGAUGAAUGUGCUUCAGAUCCCUGCAAGAACGAGGCUACAUGCCUCAAUGAAAUAGGAAGAUAUAUUUGUAUCUGUCCCCGCGAUUAUUCCGGUGUAAACUGUGAAUUGGAAAUUGACGAAUGUUGGUCCCAGCCUUGUUUAAAUGGUGCAACUUGUCAGGAUGCUCUGGGGGCCUAUUUCUGCGACUGUGCCCCUGGAUUCCUAGGGGAUCACUGUGAAUUCAACAUUGAUGAGUGUGCCAGUCAACCGUGUCUCCAUGGAGGGCUGUGUGUGGAUGGAGAAAACAGAUAUAGCUGUAACUGCACGGGUAGUGGAUUCACAGGGACACACUGUGAGACCUUGAUGCCUCUUUGUUGGUCAAAACCUUGUCACAAUAAUGCUACAUGUGAGGACAGUGUUGACAAUUACACUUGUCACUGCUGGCCUGGAUACACAGGUGCCCAGUGUGAGAUCGACAUCAAUGAAUGCAAUAGUAACCCCUGCCAGUCCAAUGGGGAAUGUGUGGAGCUGUCCUCAGAGAAACAAUAUGGACACAUCACUGGACUGCCUUCUUCUUUCAGCUACCAUGAAGCCUCAGGUUAUGUCUGUAUCUGUCAGCCUGGAUUCACAGGUGAGGCCAAGGAGAUGGGAUAUGACUUGACUUUCUGGUAUUUUACGGCAGACCAUGGACUCAACCAAAUGGUGUAUUAGCAGGAAGAGCUGUGCUGUGUAAACUCUGUUGCUGUGGUGCAAAGGGUCCCCCUUGUGGGCAUGAAAAGUAUCUUGUUUCACAUUUCAGAAUUUCUCAAAUCAAGAGAGAAAUAUUAAAAACAGGGAUGAAAGAGGUAUGAAAGGGGUGACAUUUUUAUAUGUUAUACUGGGAACUAGAGUGCAUCUCAAGUUCUUUACCUUAUACACAGAAAAUGUUGAAAUUUUUGUGCUAUCAAAUUUGAUAAUGAUGUUAAAUUUUAUGUUAUUCAAAUUUGCUAAAAUAGUUAUUGUACUUACAUUUACACUAGGAAAAAUGACCUAGUCUCAGGUAAUCUUCCUCAAUGAUUCUGUAGCUAAAGUCAUUCCAUAUAUCAAAUUUAAAUUACUCUUUUUUUUUUCACAACUUUCUUACCUAAAACCCAGAGGAAAUUUGCAUGUAUGUUAUCCAAUGAACAGUUUUGUAUUGUCUGCUUUCUGUUCUGAAAAUUUUCAGAAUUAUUGAGGCAUUCCCCAAUUCAUUAAUGGCUAGCAAUUUACCCACAAUUGCAUUGAUAUCACUGAGAAAACCAAUUACCAUCUAAAUUUCUAUCAUAUUUCUUUCUCAAUAGAUUAAGUGGUGCUUCUGGAAAAUAUUUCAGUUGUUGAGGAUUUCUGAGAAAAGUAAAUGAGAAAUAAAAAAAGAAGGGGGUGGCUAUUUACACUUAGGAUUCUCUUUCAAUGUUUCAGUUUUGAAGUUUAAUGAUCUUUGAUUUGUGGCAGUGUUUGCUGCAUGGUCGAUAAAAAAAAUGUUUAUUUCCUUAUUCACUGACCUUUCAAGGAGAACAUACAGGAAAAAAAUUCCCCAGGUGUCAAUAUCAGGAAAAUGGUAUUUUCCCUGAACAACUUCUAUCAUGCAUGCUUUCCACCCUAGUUUAAAAAAUGCAUCCAAAUAAAUCUUGAUGUGACUCAACUGAUUAAAUGCAUGAAAUAAAUAUUGUAAUAUAUCAUAUUUCCCAAUUAUGUAAGCUACUAGAAAUAAAUAUGAGAUCUGCAAAC